Molecule: ribosomal RNA, 774 nt
Filed under: uncultured Neocallimastigales
Lineage: Eukaryota; Fungi; Neocallimastigomycota; Neocallimastigomycetes; Neocallimastigales
Description: partial large subunit ribosomal RNA
Rfam family: Eukaryotic large subunit ribosomal RNA
Source: RNAcentral
CGCAUCUGUGCAUGCAGCAUAUCAAUAAGCGGAGGAAAAGAAACUAACAAGGAUUCCCCUAGUAACGGCGAGUGAAGCGGGAAGAGCUCAAAUUUGAAAUCUUAAAGGGUUUCCCUUUACGAAUUGUAGUUUAAAGAAGUGUUUUCUGUUGAGGUUUUGGUAAAAGUUCUUUGGAAUAGGACAUCAUAGAGGGUGAGAAUCCCGUAUUUGACCUUUACUUUCAACUUUGUGAUACACUUUCAAAGAGUCGGAUUGUUUGGGAAUGCAGUCCAAAAUGGGUGGUAAAUUUCAUCUAAAGCUAAAUAUUGGCGAGAGACCGAUAGCGAACAAGUACCGUGAGGGAAAGAUGAAAAGAACUUUGAAAAGAGAGUUAAACAGUACGUGAAAUUGUCAAAAGGGAAGCGUUUGACACCAGUGUUGUUUUUCUGAAAAUCAAUUAAAGAACUGUUUAUGCUAAGCUGUUUAGACUUUAUCAGCUAACUGUUUAGUUUUGAGCUUUUCUUUAAUGCACUUUUCAGUUAACAAGUCAACAUCAAUUUCUUUUGCUGUAAAAAAGCUUGAGGAAGGUGGCUUGAGAUUCGUCUUAAGUGUUUAUAGCCUCUUGCCUAUGCAGUCGGAGAGAUUGAGGUCUGCAGCGUAGAUCCUUCGGGGCUAAAUGCAUUUGUGCUAAGUUAUAGCAUUUUAUAGACAACUUGUUGACUAUGAUUUGUCUUGUAGCUUACUCGCCUAUGUUAUUUUACCUACGCUUAGGAUGUUGAGCGCAUGUCUCUCUCU